GAUGAACGCUGGCGGCGUGCCUAAUACAUGCCAGUCGAGCGAACAGACGAGGAGCUUGCUCCUCUGACGUUAGCGGCGGACGGGUGAGUAACACGUGGAUAACCUACCUAUAAGACUGGGAUAACUUCGGGAAACCGGAGCUAAUACCGGAUAAUAUAUUGAACCGCAUGGUUCAAUAGUGAAAGACGGUUUUGCUGUCACUUAUAGAUGGAUCCGCGCCGCAUUAGCUAGUUGGUAAGGUAACGGCUUACCAGGGCGACGAUGCGUAGCCGACCUGAGAGGGUGAUCGGCCACACUGGAACUGAGACACGGUCCAGACUCCUACGGGAGGCAGCAGUAGGGAAUCUUCCGCAAUGGGCGAAAGCCUGACGGAGCAACGCCGCGUGAGUGAUGAAGGUCUUCGGAUCGUAAAACUCUGUUAUUAGGGAAGAACAAAUGUGUAAGUAACUAUGCACGUCUUGACGGUACCUAAUCAGAAAGCCACGGCUAACUACGUG
This 497-nucleotide ribosomal RNA is filed under the name uncultured bacterium. RNAcentral's name for it is "partial 16S ribosomal RNA". It matches the Rfam family "Bacterial small subunit ribosomal RNA", at positions 28 to 507 of the family's 1533-position model. The record is from RNAcentral.